GAUGAACGCUGGCGGCGUGCUUAACACAUGCAAGUCGAACGAUGAAGCCCAGCUUGCUGGGUGGAUUAGUGGCGAACGGGUGAGUAACACGUGAGUAACCUGCCCUUAACUCUGGGAUAAGCCUGGGAAACUGGGUCUAAUACCGGAUAGGAGCGUCCACCGCAUGGUGGGUGUUGGAGAGAUUUAUCGGUUUUGGAUGGACUCGCGGCCUAUCAGCUUGUUGGUGAGGUAAUGGCUCACCAAGGCGACGACGGGUAGCCGGCCUGAGAGGGUGACCGGCCACACUGGGACUGAGACACGGCCCAGACUCCUACGGGAGGCAGCAGUGGGGAAUAUUGCACAAUGGGCGCAAGCCUGAUGCAGCGACGCCGCGUGAGGGAUGACGGCCUUCGGGUUGUAAACCUCUUUCAGUAGGGAAGAAGCGAAAGUGACGGUACCUGCAGAAGAAGCACCGGCUAACUACGUG
This 466-nucleotide ribosomal RNA is filed under the name uncultured bacterium. RNAcentral's name for it is "partial 16S ribosomal RNA". It matches the Rfam family "Bacterial small subunit ribosomal RNA", at positions 28 to 507 of the family's 1533-position model. The record is from RNAcentral.